This 82-nucleotide transfer RNA is filed under the name Bradyrhizobium ivorense. Its description in RNAcentral is "Bradyrhizobium sp. CI-1B tRNA-Ala". The record is from RNAcentral. Lineage: Bacteria; Pseudomonadati; Pseudomonadota; Alphaproteobacteria; Hyphomicrobiales; Nitrobacteraceae.
UGCCGGAACGGCGCGGCUUCGUCGCGAGCUGGCAGUUCGCGAGCCAGGGCGUCAGCGGCCUGUUAGGGGCAGGCUUUGGCGC